GGAGUUAGCCGGUGCUUCUUCUGUGAGUGAUGUCCUUCCUGCCGGCUAUUAACCCGCAGGCCUUCUUCCUCACUGAAAGUGCUUUACAACCCGAAGGCCUUCUUCACACACGCGGCAUGGCUGGAUCAGGGUUGCCCCCAUUGUCCAAUAUUCCCCACUGCUGCCUCCCGUAGGAGUCUGGGCCGUGUCUCAGUCCCAGUGUGGCUGAUCAUCCUCUCAGACCAGCUACGGAUCGUCGCCUUGGUGAGCCGUUACCUCACCAACCAGCUAAUCCGACAUAGGCUCAUCCGAUAGCGCGAGGCCCGAAGGUCCCCCGCUUUCCCCCGUAGGGCGUAUGCGGUAUUAGCCUGGGUUUCCCCAGGUUAUCCCCCACUACCGGGCAGAUUCCUAUGCAUUACUCACCCGUCCGCCGCUCGCCACCAGGGAGCAAGCUCCCCGUGCUGCCGCUCGACUUGCAUGUGUAGCGUCGCCGCCACGCGUCAUCUGAGCCAUGAUACAACUACUGA
Molecule: ribosomal RNA, 506 nt
Filed under: uncultured bacterium
Lineage: Bacteria
Description: partial 16S ribosomal RNA
Source: RNAcentral